This 1152-nucleotide ribosomal RNA is filed under the name Mammaliicoccus sciuri. Its description in RNAcentral is "bacterial SSU rRNA". It matches the Rfam family "Bacterial small subunit ribosomal RNA", at positions 57 to 1156 of the family's 1533-position model. The record is from RNAcentral. Lineage: Bacteria; Bacillati; Bacillota; Bacilli; Caryophanales; Staphylococcaceae.
GCUUGUCGAGCGGACAGAUGAGAAGCUUGCUUCUCUGAUGUUAGCGGCGGACGGGUGAGUAACACGUGGGUAACCUACCUAUAAGACUGGGAUAACUCCGGGAAACCGGGGCUAAUACCGGAUAAUAUUUUGAACCGCAUGGUUCAAUAGUGAAAGACGGUUUCGGCUGUCACUUAUAGAUGGACCCGCGCCGUAUUAGCUAGUUGGUAAGGUAACGGCUUACCAAGGCGACGAUACGUAGCCGACCUGAGAGGGUGAUCGGCCACACUGGAACUGAGACACGGUCCAGACUCCUACGGGAGGCAGCAGUAGGGAAUCUUCCGCAAUGGGCGAAAGCCUGACGGAGCAACGCCGCGUGAGUGAUGAAGGUCUUCGGAUCGUAAAACUCUGUUGUUAGGGAAGAACAAAUUUGUUAGUAACUGAACAAGUCUUGACGGUACCUAACCAGAAAGCCACGGCUAACUACGUGCCAGCAGCCGCGGUAAUACGUAGGUGGCAAGCGUUAUCCGGAAUUAUUGGGCGUAAAGCGCGCGUAGGCGGUUUCUUAAGUCUGAUGUGAAAGCCCACGGCUCAACCGUGGAGGGUCAUUGGAAACUGGGAAACUUGAGUGCAGAAGAGGAGAGUGGAAUUCCAUGUGUAGCGGUGAAAUGCGCAGAGAUAUGGAGGAACACCAGUGGCGAAGGCGGCUCUCUGGUCUGUAACUGACGCUGAUGUGCGAAAGCGUGGGGAUCAAACAGGAUUAGAUACCCUGGUACUCCACGCCGUAAACGAUGAGUGCUAAGUGUUAGGGGGUUUCCGCCCCUUAGUGCUGCAGCUAACGCAUUAAGCACUCCGCCUGGGGAGUACGACCGCAGGGUUGAAACUCAAAAGAAUGGACGGGGACCCGCACAAGCUGUUGGCAGCAUGUGGUUUUAAGUACAAAGCAGCGCGAAGAACCUUUACCCAAAUCUUGGACAUCCUUUUGACUGCUCUAGAGAUAAUAGUCGUUCGCCUUCGGCGCGACAAAGGUGACAGUUGGUAGCAAUGGUUGUCGUCCACCUCCGAUGUCGAUGAGAUUGUAUAGGUUUAAGAUCAACUCAACCAACGCAACGGGUUUAUGUCUUUACUUGCCGUUCAUUUAACGCUUGGUCGAGCUCGAUAUAAGCUUUCGAC